AAUUCCGCGCGAUUUCCAUAUUUUCGUGUGCUUUAGCCCACGCCUUCCAAGGGGUCCCGGGAACCCCGAACCCCGAUCGCCUAAAAAUUUUCGGGGCCAUAAAAUACGACCUAAGGAACCAUAGUAACCGCCCCGCCAUGAUCGUUCCUCAUUUAUUGCAUUUUUCGGCCAAAAAACUAGAAUUCCGCCCGAUUCCAAUAUUUUUGUGUGUUGUAGCCCACGCCUUCCGAGUGUUCCCGGGUCUCCGGACCCCAAUCGCCUAAAAUUUUUCCGGACUAUCAAAUACGACCUAAGGUACCAUAGUCACCGCCCAGCCAUGAUCAUUCCUCAUUUGUGGCGUUUUUUGGCCAAAAAACUAGAACUCCACGCGAUUUGCAUAUUUUCGUGUGCUAUAGCUUACGCCUUGCGAGUGGUCCCGGGAGCCAUGGACCCCGAUCGCCUAAAAUUUUCCGAGCCAUAAAAUACG
This 466-nucleotide long non-coding RNA is filed under the name Nicotiana tabacum (common tobacco). RNAcentral's name for it is "long non-coding RNA (NTAB_LNC008312)". Lineage: Eukaryota; Viridiplantae; Streptophyta; Magnoliopsida; Solanales; Solanaceae. The record is from RNAcentral.